This 2321-nucleotide ribosomal RNA is filed under the name Escherichia coli. Its description in RNAcentral is "partial 23S ribosomal RNA". It matches the Rfam family "Bacterial large subunit ribosomal RNA", at positions 614 to 2915 of the family's 2925-position model. Lineage: Bacteria; Pseudomonadati; Pseudomonadota; Gammaproteobacteria; Enterobacterales; Enterobacteriaceae. The record is from RNAcentral.
AAUGGGUCAGCGACUUAUAUUCUGUAGCAAGGUUAACCGAAUAGGGGAGCCGAAGGGAAACCGAGUCUUAACUGGGCGUUAAGUUGCAGGGUAUAGACCCGAAACCCGGUGAUCUAGCCAUGGGCAGGUUGAAGGUUGGGUAACACUAACUGGAGGACCGAACCGACUAAUGUUGAAAAAUUAGCGGAUGACUUGUGGCUGGGGGUGAAAGGCCAAUCAAACCGGGAGAUAGCUGGUUCUCCCCGAAAGCUAUUUAGGUAGCGCCUCGUGAAUUCAUCUCCGGGGGUAGAGCACUGUUUCGGCAAGGGGGUCAUCCCGACUUACCAACCCGAUGCAAACUGCGAAUACCGGAGAAUGUUAUCACGGGAGACACACGGCGGGUGCUAACGUCCGUCGUGAAGAGGGAAACAACCCAGACCGCCAGCUAAGGUCCCAAAGUCAUGGUUAAGUGGGAAACGAUGUGGGAAGGCCCAGACAGCCAGGAUGUUGGCUUAGAAGCAGCCAUCAUUUAAAGAAAGCGUAAUAGCUCACUGGUCGAGUCGGCCUGCGCGGAAGAUGUAACGGGGCUAAACCAUGCACCGAAGCUGCGGCAGCGACACUAUGUGUUGUUGGGUAGGGGAGCGUUCUGUAAGCCUGUGAAGGUGUACUGUGAGGUAUGCUGGAGGUAUCAGAAGUGCGAAUGCUGACAUAAGUAACGAUAAAGCGGGUGAAAAGCCCGCUCGCCGGAAGACCAAGGGUUCCUGUCCAACGUUAAUCGGGGCAGGGUGAGUCGACCCCUAAGGCGAGGCCGAAAGGCGUAGUCGAUGGGAAACAGGUUAAUAUUCCUGUACUUGGUGUUACUGCGAAGGGGGGACGGAGAAGGCUAUGUUGGCCGGGCGACGGUUGUCCCGGUUUAAGCGUGUAGGCUGGUUUUCCAGGCAAAUCCGGAAAAUCAAGGCUGAGGCGUGAUGACGAGGCACUACGGUGCUGAAGCAACAAAUGCCCUGCUUCCAGGAAAAGCCUCUAAGCAUCAGGUAACAUCAAAUCGUACCCCAAACCGACACAGGUGGUCAGGUAGAGAAUACCAAGGCGCUUGAGAGAACUCGGGUGAAGGAACUAGGCAAAAUGGUGCCGUAACUUCGGGAGAAGGCACGCUGAUAUGUAGGUGAAGCGACUUGCUCGUGGAGCUGAAAUCAGUCGAAGAUACCAGCUGGCUGCAACUGUUUAUUAAAAACACAGCACUGUGCAAACACGAAAGUGGACGUAUACGGUGUGACGCCUGCCCGGUGCCGGAAGGUUAAUUGAUGGGGUUAGCGCAAGCGAAGCUCUUGAUCGAAGCCCCGGUAAACGGCGGCCGUAACUAUAACGGUCCUAAGGUAGCGAAAUUCCUUGUCGGGUAAGUUCCGACCUGCACGAAUGGCGUAAUGAUGGCCAGGCUGUCUCCACCCGAGACUCAGUGAAAUUGAACUCGCUGUGAAGAUGCAGUGUACCCGCGGCAAGACGGAAAGACCCCGUGAACCUUUACUAUAGCUUGACACUGAACAUUGAGCCUUGAUGUGUAGGAUAGGUGGGAGGCUUUGAAGUGUGGACGCCAGUCUGCAUGGAGCCGACCUUGAAAUACCACCCUUUAAUGUUUGAUGUUCUAACGUUGGCCCGUUAUCCGGGUUGCGGACAGUGUCUGGUGGGUAGUUUGACUGGGGCGGUCUCCUCCUAAAGAGUAACGGAGGAGCACGAAGGUUGGCUAAUCCUGGUCGGACAUCAGGAGGUUAGUGCAAUGGCAUAAGCCAGCUUGACUGCGAGCGUGACGGCGCGAGCAGGUGCGAAAGCAGGUCAUAGUGAUCCGGUGGUUCUGAAUGGAAGGGCCAUCGCUCAACGGAUAAAAGGUACUCCGGGGAUAACAGGCUGAUACCGCCCAAGAGUUCAUAUCGACGGCGGUGUUUGGCACCUCGAUGUCGGCUCAUCACAUCCUGGGGCUGAAGUAGGUCCCAAGGGUAUGGCUGUUCGCCAUUUAAAGUGGUACGCGAGCUGGGUUUAGAACGUCGUGAGACAGUUCGGUCCCUAUCUGCCGUGGGCGCUGGAGAACUGAGGGGGGCUGCUCCUAGUACGAGAGGACCGGAGUGGACGCAUCACUGGUGUUCGGGUUGUCAUGCCAAUGGCACUGCCCGGUAGCUAAAUGCGGAAGAGAUAAGUGCUGAAAGCAUCUAAGCACGAAACUUGCCCCGAGAUGAGUUCUCCCUGACUCCCUGAGAGUCCUGAAGGAACGUUGAAGACGACGACGUUGAUAGGCCGGGUGUGUAAGCGCAGCGAUGCGUUGAGCUAACCGGUACUAAUGAACCGUGAGG